Molecule: ribosomal RNA, 496 nt
Filed under: uncultured bacterium
Lineage: Bacteria
Description: partial 16S ribosomal RNA
Rfam family: Bacterial small subunit ribosomal RNA
Source: RNAcentral
AUGAACGCUGGCGGCGUGCCUAAUACCUGCCAGUCGAGCGAACGGACGAGAAGCUUGCUUCUCUGAUGUUAGCGGCGGACGGGUGAGUAACACGUGGAUAACCUACCUAUAAGACUGGGAUAACUUCGGGAAACCGUAGCUAAUACCGGAUAAUAUUUUGAACCGCAUGGUUCAAAAGUGAAAGACGGUCUUGCUGUCACUUAUAGAUGGAUCCGCGCUGCAUUAGCUAGUUGGUAAGGUAACGGCUUACCAAGGCAACGAUGCAUAGCCGACCUGAGAGGGUGAUCGGCCACACUGGAACUGAGACACGGUCCAGACUCCUACGGGAGGCAGCAGUAGGGAAUCUUCCGCAAUGGGCGAAAGCCUGACGGAGCAACGCCGCGUGAGUGAUGAAGGUCUUCGGAUCGUAAAACUCUGUUAUUAGGGAAGAACAUAUGUGUAAGUAACUGUGCACAUCUUGACGGUACCUAAUCAGAAAGCCACGGCUAACUACGUG